CCUACGGGAGGCAGCAGUGGGGAAUAUUGGACAAUGGGCGCAAGCCUGAUCCAGCAAUACCGCGUGUGUGAAGAAGGCCUGAGGGUUGUAAAGCACUUUCAAUGGGGAGGAACACCUUAGGGCGAAUACCCUUAAGACUGACAUUACCCAUACAAGAAGCACCGGCUAACUCCGUGCCAGCAGCCGCGGUAAUACGGAGGGUGCAAGCGUUAAUCGGAAUUACUGGGCGUAAAGCGUGCGUAGGCGGCCUGUUAAGUCAGAUGUGAAAGCCCUGGGCUCAACCUGGGAACUGCAUUUGAAACUGGCGGGCUAGAGUUAGGUAGAGGGGAGUGGAAUUUCAGGUGUAGCGGUGAAAUGCGUAGAUAUCUGAAGGAACACCAGUGGCGAAGGCGGCUCCCUGGACCCAAACUGACGCUGAGGUACGAAAGCGUGGGUAGCAAACAGGAUUAGAUACCCGUGGUAGUCCGACGACCGUAACGUAUAGUCGACUACGUCGUCGGUCCGUUUACGGUUUAGGUUGGUCGCGNGCGUACGUACAUAGUCGUACCGCCGUGGGAGGUACGGCGCGAAGUUAAACGUACGUAAGGUAAGUAGUUAGCGUGAGACGUGCGACGGACGACGACGAGGGAGGAGG
Molecule: ribosomal RNA, 634 nt
Filed under: uncultured bacterium
Lineage: Bacteria
Description: bacterial SSU rRNA
Rfam family: Bacterial small subunit ribosomal RNA (bases 1-551)
Source: RNAcentral